This 468-nucleotide ribosomal RNA is filed under the name uncultured bacterium. Its description in RNAcentral is "partial 16S ribosomal RNA". It matches the Rfam family "Bacterial small subunit ribosomal RNA", at positions 28 to 507 of the family's 1533-position model. The record is from RNAcentral.
GACGAACGCUGGCGGCGUGCUUAACACAUGCAAGUCGAACGGAAAGGCCCUGCUUUUGUGGGGUGCUCGAGUGGCGAACGGGUGAGUAACACGUGAGUAACCUGCCCUUGACUUUGGGAUAACUUCAGGAAACUGGGGCUAAUAUCGGAUAGGAGCUCUUGCUGCAUGGUGGGGGUUGGAAAGUUUCGGCGGUUGGGGAUGGACGCGGGGUUUAUCAGCUUGUUGGUGGGUUAGUGGCUUACCAAGGCUUUGACGGGUAGCCGGCCUGAGAGCGUGACCGGCCACACUGGUACUAAGAUUCAGACCGGAGUGCUUCAGUAGGCAGGAGAGGGGAAUUGUGCACAAUCGGCUGAGGCCUGAUGCAGCGACGCCGCGUGCGGGAUGACGGCCGUCGGGUUGUAAACCGCGUUAGCCUGUGACGAUACGUGAGUGACGGUAAUGGAUAAAUAAGCACCGGCUGACUACGCG